UNUGACUUGAGUGCAGAAGGGGAGAGUGGAAUUCCAUGUGUAGCGGUGAAAUGCGUAGAUAUAUGGAGGANCACCAGUGGCGAAAGCGGCUCUCUGGUCUGUCACUGACGCUGAGGCUCGAAAGCGUGGGUAGCGAACAGGAUUAGAUACCCUGGUUGUNCACGCCGUAAACGAUGAGUGCUAGGUGUUAGGCCCUUUCCGGGGCUUAGUGCCGGAGCUAACGCAAUAAGCACUCCGCCUGGGGAGUACGACCGCAAGGUUGAGACUCAAAGGAAUUGACGGGGGCCCGCACAAGCGGUGGAGCAUGUGGUUUAAUUCGAAGCAACGCGAAGAACCUUACCAGGUCUUGACAUCCCGAUGCUAUUCUUAGAGAUAGGAAGUUACUUCGGUACAUCGGAGACAGGUGGUGCAUGGUUGUCAUCAGCUCGUGUCGUGAGAUGUUGGGUUAANNNCCGCAACGAGCGCAACCCUUAUUGUUAGUUGCCAUCAUUAAGUUGGGCACUCUAGCGAGACUGCCGGUAAUAAACCGGAGGAAGGUGGGGAAGACGUCAAAUCAUCAUGCCCCUUAUGACCUGGGCUACACACGUGCUACAAUGGUCGGUACAACGAGUUGCGAGCCGGUGACGGCAAGCUAAUCUCUGAAAGCCGACCUCAGUUCGGAUUGGAGGCUGCAACUCGCCUCCAUGAAGUCGGAAUCGCUAGUAAUCGCGGAUCAGCACGCCGCGGUGAAUACGUUCCCGGGCCUNGU
This 748-nucleotide ribosomal RNA is filed under the name uncultured bacterium. RNAcentral's name for it is "bacterial SSU rRNA". It matches the Rfam family "Bacterial small subunit ribosomal RNA", at positions 636 to 1384 of the family's 1533-position model. The record is from RNAcentral.